RNAcentral lists this ribosomal RNA (500 nucleotides) under uncultured bacterium. RNAcentral's name for it is "partial 16S ribosomal RNA". It matches the Rfam family "Bacterial small subunit ribosomal RNA", at positions 30 to 523 of the family's 1533-position model. The record is from RNAcentral.
AUUGAACGCUGGCGGAAUGCUUUACACAUGCAAGUCGAACGGCAGCACGGACUUCGGUCUGGUGGCGAGUGGUGAACGGGUGAGUAAUGUAUCGGAACGUGCCCAGUCGUGGGGGAUAACGUAGUGAAAAUUACGCUAAUACCGCAUACGAUCUAUGGAUGAAAGGGGGGGAUCGCAAGACCUCGCGCGAUUGGAGCGGCCGAUAUCAGAUUAGGUAGUUGGUGGGGUAAAGGCCCACCAAGCCAACGAUCUGUAGCUGGUCUGAGAAGACGACCAGCCACACUGGAACUGAGACACGGUCCAGACUCCUACGGGAGGCAGCAGUGGGGAAUUUUGGACAAUGGGCGAAAGCCUGAUCCAGCCAUUCCGCGUGCAGGAUGAAGGCCCUCGGGUUGUAAACUGCUUUUGUACAGAACGAAGAGGUUUCUACUAAUACUAGGAGCUCAUGACGGUACUGUAAGAAUAAGCACCGGCUAACUACGUGCCAGCCGCCGCGGUAA